Branchiostoma belcheri (Belcher's lancelet) is the source of this 370-nucleotide long non-coding RNA. RefSeq lists it as uncharacterized. The transcript has 3 exons. The record is from RefSeq and is a predicted model, not a curated record. NCBI's taxonomy places the organism in Eukaryota, Metazoa, Chordata, Leptocardii, Amphioxiformes, Branchiostomatidae.
AACAAACUUAUAUCAAGGACUAUGGACAUGAAUGGGGAGUUUGAAACCAAGUCCUGGGUAGAAAGGAUCAUCAUUAUAGGCCUGCCAAAGGCUCCAACUACAGUCACUAUAGAUGGCGUCAGAGAUAUCAUGAUAGACAAGAAGAACCUGGAGUUCCGCUACACGCCCGACACGCAGACUCUGGUGAUCAGGAAACCAGCCGUCAACGUGGCACAGAACUGGAGCAUCACCCUACAAUAACCUGCCAUGCUGCUACAUGGGGGGGACAGGGGAGAGGGGCUCAGAUCUUACUUAUGUGGCAAUAGAUAAUGACAAGUCCAUAUAGUUAACCCAGUUCUUGGCAGGCGUGGCUGGGAUGAGAUACCUUGUG